RNAcentral lists this ribosomal RNA (497 nucleotides) under uncultured bacterium. RNAcentral describes it as "partial 16S ribosomal RNA". It matches the Rfam family "Bacterial small subunit ribosomal RNA", at positions 38 to 507 of the family's 1533-position model. The record is from RNAcentral.
GGGGGGGGGGGGGGGGGGGGGGGGGGGGGGGGGGUGGGGGGCAGGGGUGAGGGGGUUGGGCCUGGGACGUUGGCGGCGGAGGGGUGGGGAAGACGUGGGUAACCUACCGGUAAGACGGGGGUAAGUUGGGGAGACCGGAGCUGCUCCCGGGUCGCAGUUGGAACCGCGUGGUUCUAGAGUGGAAGGUGGUUGUGCUAUCGCUUCUACUUGGACCAGCGCCGUAUUAGCUCGUUGGUAAGGUAACGGCUUAUCAAGGCACCGAUACGUAGCCGACCUGAGAGGGUGAUCGGCCACACUGGAACAGAGACACGGUCCAGACUCCUACGGGAGACAGCAGUAGGGAAUCUUCCGCAAUGGGCGAAAGCCUGACGGAGCAACGCCGCGUGAGUUAUGAAGGGUUUCGGCUCGUAAAACUCUGUUAUUAGGGAAGAACAAAUGUGUAAGUAACUGUGCACGUCUUGACGGUACCUAAUCAGAAAGCCACGGCUAACUACGUG